Molecule: ribosomal RNA, 447 nt
Filed under: uncultured Eubacteriales bacterium
Lineage: Bacteria; Bacillati; Bacillota; Clostridia; Eubacteriales
Description: bacterial SSU rRNA
Rfam family: Bacterial small subunit ribosomal RNA
Source: RNAcentral
UUCCUACGGGGGGCAGCAGUGGGGAAUAUUGGGCAAUGGGGGAAACCCUGACCCAGCAACGCCGCGUGAGGGAAGAAGGUUUUCGGAUUGUAAACCUCUGUCCUUGGUGACGAAACAAAUGACGGUAGCCAAGGAGGAAGCCCCGGCUAACUACGUGCCAGCAGCCGCGGUAAUACGUAGGGGGCAAGCGUUGUCCGGAAUGACUGGGCGUAAAGGGCGUGUAGGCGGCCGAUUAAGUCUGGAGUGAAAGUCCUGCUUUCAAGGUGGGAAUUGCUUUGGAGACUGGUUGGCUUGAGUGCGGAAGAGGUAAGUGGAAUUCCCAGUGUAGCGGUGAAAUGCGUAGAGAUUGGGAGGAACACCAGUGGCGAAGGCGACUUACUGGGCCGUAACUGACGCUGAGGCGCGAAAGCGUGGGGAGCGAACAGGAUUAGAUACCCCGGUAGUCCC